UUAUAAAUUUUAUCCCUUUUUGAAGAAGAAGUUUUGACUAAAAUGAAUUUCGAAGUGCAGACUAAACGAUCUGUCAGUGAGGUUCUGUCAACCAUCUCACACAUGCCUACACUAAAUGGUAAGGGCAAGGACGUAUUGGCGAAUGACAAGAGGAAUCCUUGAACGAGACAUUGGGACCAGCUUUAAUGCUUCCGUUCAUGAUAUUUAGAUUUCUUUCCAUGUUUUUCAACUUUCAAUUUGAUGUUCGAAACUUACUAUUUCGAUUUGUUUUCAGACCUAUUUAUUAUCAUUUAUAAUUUAUAGGCA
This is a non-coding RNA of Benincasa hispida (wax gourd), 306 nucleotides long. Lineage: Eukaryota; Viridiplantae; Streptophyta; Magnoliopsida; Cucurbitales; Cucurbitaceae. The record is from RefSeq and is a predicted model, not a curated record.